RNAcentral lists this microRNA precursor (115 nucleotides) under Prunus dulcis (almond). RNAcentral's name for it is "sRNA ncRNA". Lineage: Eukaryota; Viridiplantae; Streptophyta; Magnoliopsida; Rosales; Rosaceae. The record is from RNAcentral.
CGACACUGCUUAUAGGCAACUGUUGUGUGUUUGUGGGCAGAUGAAACAAUCUGGAAUGAGAACAGAUUGUUUCAUCUGCCCACAAACACACAACAGUUGCCUAUAAGCAGUGUCG